CGCCUUGCCAGCCCGCUCAGAAACUUAAAUGAAUUGACGGGGGCCCGCACAAGCGGAGGAGCAUGUGGUUUAAUUCGAUGAUACGCGAGGAACCUUACCUGGGCUCGAACGUAUGUUGACGUAUUCUGAAAGGGAUACUUCUUCGGACAAUAUACAAGGUGCUGCAUGGUUGUCGUCAGCUCGUGCCGUGAGGUGUCGGGUUAAGUCCCAUAACGAGCGCAACCCCUAUCAUUAGUUGCCAUCAGGUCAAGCUGGGGACUCUAAUGAAACUGCCUACGCAAGUAGUGAGGAAGGUGGGGAUGACGUCAAAUCAGCACGGCCCUUACGUCCAGGGCGACACACGUGCUACAAUGGCCGGCACAACGGGAAGCGAGUUCGCGAGGACGAGCGGAUCCCUUAAAGCCGGUCGCAGUUCGGAUUGAAGUCUGCAACUCGACUUCAUGAAGCUGGAAUCGCUAGUAAUCGUGGAUCAGCCAAGCCGCGGUGAAUACGUUCCCGGGCCUU
Molecule: ribosomal RNA, 504 nt
Filed under: uncultured Bacteroidota bacterium
Lineage: Bacteria; Pseudomonadati; Bacteroidota
Description: bacterial SSU rRNA
Rfam family: Bacterial small subunit ribosomal RNA
Source: RNAcentral